This 253-nucleotide ribosomal RNA is filed under the name uncultured bacterium. RNAcentral's name for it is "partial 16S ribosomal RNA". It matches the Rfam family "Bacterial small subunit ribosomal RNA", at positions 524 to 776 of the family's 1533-position model. The record is from RNAcentral.
AACGUAGGGGACAAGCGUUAUCCGGAUUUACUGGGCGUAAAGCGCCCGUAGGCGGCCUGAUAAGUUGGACGUGAAAGCUCCCGGCUUAACUGGGAGAGGCCGUUCAAAACUGUGAGGCUAGAGUGAGGCAGAGGAGCGCGGAAUUCCCGGUGUAGUGGUGGAAUGCGUAGAGAUCGGGAGGAACACCAGUGGCGAAAGCGGCGCUCUGGGCCUAAACUGACGCUGAGACACGAAAGCGUGGGGAGCAAACAGG